Molecule: microRNA precursor, 184 nt
Filed under: Arabidopsis lyrata
Lineage: Eukaryota; Viridiplantae; Streptophyta; Magnoliopsida; Brassicales; Brassicaceae
Description: miR162b stem-loop (aly-MIR162b)
Gene: aly-MIR162b
Rfam family: MIR162_1 microRNA precursor family (bases 40-143)
Source: miRBase by way of RNAcentral
UUUUUUUAGUUCUCUCCUCAUUUUUAUGUUUGGAUUUAGAGUGAAGUCGCUGGAGGCAGCGGUUCAUCGAUCAAUUCCUGUGAAUAUUUUUGUUUUCAAAAGCAUGAAUCGAUCGAUAAACCUCUGCAUCCAGCGCUUACUCUUCCUCAUCUGUUUAAUAAUCUAUUUGAGAAUGCUCAAAAGA